RNAcentral lists this small RNA (280 nucleotides) under Rickettsia conorii subsp. raoultii. Lineage: Bacteria; Pseudomonadati; Pseudomonadota; Alphaproteobacteria; Rickettsiales; Rickettsiaceae. The record is from RNAcentral.
AGUAAUGUGUGUAGCUAACCGAUACUAAUAGCUCGAUUGAUUUACUUUGCUGUGAGAUUACAUAUGCAUAUAGUGUUAAUGCUAUAAGAGUGUAGUAUCAACUCACAAAGUUAUCAGGUUAAAUAGCUUUAUCAACUAAUAAAUUUGCUGAGUAUCGUAGUAAAAGUUAAGAUAUGAUGUUAAGAAUUUUUUUGAGUCGUGCAAUAACAUUAACAGCAAACUAUAAUACAAAUCUAUCUUUUUAAAAGUUUGUAUUGCUAGCUUGGUGGUUAUAGCAUGA